UGGGGAAUAUUGCACAAUGGGGGAAACCCUGAUGCAGCAACGCCGCGUGCGGGAUGACGGCCUUCGGGUUGUAAACCGCUUUCAGCCAUGACGAAGCUUUUGUGACGGUAGUGGCAGAAGAAGCACCGGCUAACUACGUGCCAGCAGCCACGGUGAUACGUAGGGUGCGAGCGUUGUCCGGAAUUAUUGGGCGUAAAGAGCUUGUAGGCGGUUUGUCGCGUCGAAAGUGUAAACUCAGUGCUUAACGCUGAGCCUGCUUUCGAUACGGGCUGACUAGAGGAAGGUAGGGGAGAAUGGAAUUCCCGGUGGAGCGGUGGAAUGCGCAGAUAUCGGGAGGAACACCAGUGGCGAAGGCGGUUCUCUGGACCUUUCCUGACGCUGAGAAGCGAAAGCGUGGGUAGCAAACAGG
This 409-nucleotide ribosomal RNA is filed under the name bacterium. RNAcentral's name for it is "partial 16S ribosomal RNA". It matches the Rfam family "Bacterial small subunit ribosomal RNA", at positions 355 to 776 of the family's 1533-position model. The record is from RNAcentral.